GAGUGGAAAGUGGACAUGCUUCUCAGAGAAUAUGGACUAAGUUUGGAGCGCAACCUUAGCCUUGAUGAUAAGAGAGCAUAUGCAAUGGGCACAUUCUUGUGGCCUCAUCAGUAUUAAUCCAUCUUCUAAUCAUCAUCGUGCCUUAAUCAAGCUGCUAGCUAAUAUCAUAUGCAUGCAGUUAAUAACUUUUAGCACUAUAUAAUUAAAUACAGUACCUAUAUAUGGUGUGUGGUACUUUGUAGUAAGAUGGUUGGAAUCUAGUUUUGUUU
This 269-nucleotide long non-coding RNA is filed under the name Gossypium raimondii (Peruvian cotton). Its description in RNAcentral is "long non-coding RNA (GRAI_LNC008640)". The record is from RNAcentral. Lineage: Eukaryota; Viridiplantae; Streptophyta; Magnoliopsida; Malvales; Malvaceae.